RNAcentral lists this non-coding RNA (30 nucleotides) under Mus musculus (house mouse). The record is from RNAcentral. Lineage: Eukaryota; Metazoa; Chordata; Mammalia; Rodentia; Muridae.
UAAUUACAGAAUUUGUAAUAAAAAUAAGGA